This 496-nucleotide ribosomal RNA is filed under the name uncultured bacterium. RNAcentral's name for it is "partial 16S ribosomal RNA". It matches the Rfam family "Bacterial small subunit ribosomal RNA", at positions 28 to 507 of the family's 1533-position model. The record is from RNAcentral.
GAUGAACGCUGGCGGCGUGCCUAAUACAUGCAAGUAGAACGCUGAAGGAGGAGCUUGCUCUUUCCGGAUGAGUUGCGAACGGGUGAGUAACGCGUAGGUAACCUGCCUGGUAGCGGGGGAUAACUAUUGGAAACGAUAGCUAAUACCGCAUAACAGUAGAUAUUGCAUGAUAUUUGCUUGAAAGGGGCAAUUGCUCCACUACCAGAUGGACCUGCGUUGUAUUAGCUAGUUGGUGAGGUAACGGCUCACCAAGGCGACGAUACAUAGCCGACCUGAGAGGGUGAUCGGCCACACUGGGACUGGGACACGGCCCAGACUCCUACGGGAGGCAGCAGUAGGGAAUCUUCGGCAAUGGACGGAAGUCUGACCGAGCAACGCCGCGUGAGUGAAGAAGGUUUUCGGAUCGUAAAGCUCUGUUGUAAGAGAAGAACGAGUGUGAGAGUGGAAAGUUCACACUGUGACGGUAUCUUACCAGAAAGAGACGGCUAACUACGUG